AGUUAAGCGUGCUUGGACGAGAGUAGUACUAGGAUGGGUGACCUCCUGGGAAGUCCUCGUUUUGCAUCCCUC
This 72-nucleotide ribosomal RNA is filed under the name Oryza sativa Indica Group (long-grained rice). Lineage: Eukaryota; Viridiplantae; Streptophyta; Magnoliopsida; Poales; Poaceae. The record is from RNAcentral.